This 336-nucleotide unclassified non-coding RNA is filed under the name soil metagenome. Its description in RNAcentral is "partial contains 5.8S ribosomal RNA, internal transcribed spacer 2, and large subunit ribosomal RNA". The stretch from base 1 to 119 matches the Rfam family "5.8S ribosomal RNA", at positions 36 to 154 of the family's 154-position model. The record is from RNAcentral.
AUGAAGAACGCAGCGAAAUGCGAUAAGUAGUGUGAAUUGCAGAAUUCAGUGAAUCAUCGAAUCUUUGAACGCACAUUGCGCCCCUUGGUAUUCCAUGGGGCAUGCCUGUUCGAGCGUCAUUUGUACCUUCAAGCUCUGCUUGGUGUUGGGUGUUUGUCUCGCCUCUGCGUGUAGACUCGCCUUAAAACAAUUGGCAGCCGGCGUAUUGAUUUCGGAGCGCAGUACAUCUCGCGCUUUGCACUCAUAACGACGACGUCCAAAAGUACAUUUUUACACUCUUGACCUCGGAUCAGGUAGGGAUACCCGCUGAACUUAAGCAUAUCAAUAAGCGGAGGA